AUAAAGUUCCCCACACAAACCCUGUUGUGGUCAUGGAAAAGUUUGCCCCUCUUUGAGCUUCCAUCAUCAUGACUUGAUUUUCUCAUCAUUUUUUUUUUCACUUCGUACUCCUUUAUUUUCUUUCUUUCACAAAAAGAUGCACUUCGAAAUAUAUUUAUCUCACGAUCCUUGCCCGGUUUCGUUCAAAAGUAAAGGUCCUUGGACCACGUGAGAUCACGUAGGCCUCCAUGACCAUGAGCUCUCGAGCAAGGCAGAGGGCUCAGAGGACGAGGAGGACUUUCCUCUUGAUCAGUCGAUGAUGAAGAAAAUAACUAGACAUUCGUGUGGGUAUGUCUGUCGAAUACGUUGAACAGAGAGUCACUCGUAGCAGAAAACUCACUUCACGCUUUUAUAGAGAAAUAAUACUAUUCAAAAGUCGAGGAUGAAAAAAAUAAUAUAAGGUGAGAGGAAGAUGCGGAAUGGACAGGAUCACGUGUAGGAGACAACAGGAAGCACAUGAGGUGUUGAGGGAAAGUGAAGAGGAAGGUGGGGACAACAACGUUGGAUUUGGUUAAGGAGUGCCCCGAUGUUCAAAGGGCUUUUUGUUUGUGUGGCUUAUCUUGCUGGGCUCCUGGCUACGAAAGUUACCGCUCAGGUUCAUCGAUCGGAUGGUUUACCAAAAGGUAUUGUAUAUAUAUCUGUACAUUGGCCGGUCCCUUAGGAUCAGGAAUGUUUGCCUUCAAUUCGAUGCUGUACUGUAUUGUGAAGGCAGCUCCCACAAGGUUUGUCCCAUAAUAUGGAACUGUUUUAUUUUUCCGAAUGAUGGUAUAGGGUUCAUCCAACUUGGUCGCUGUUAAUAAUCGUGUUGGAUUAUGCAAUAAGGGAACAUGUAAUGACUUUAUGUGCACAUUGUCAAAUAUAUAGGAGUAACUUUCUUCCGUGCUUUUUUCGUUCUA
Molecule: long non-coding RNA, 935 nt
Organism: Neltuma alba
Lineage: Eukaryota; Viridiplantae; Streptophyta; Magnoliopsida; Fabales; Fabaceae
Exons: 2
Source: RefSeq, a predicted model, not a curated record